Molecule: long non-coding RNA, 577 nt
Filed under: Homo sapiens (human)
Lineage: Eukaryota; Metazoa; Chordata; Mammalia; Primates; Hominidae
Description: HSALNT0026894
Source: RNAcentral
CUUUUUGAUCCAGAAAAUAGUAGUCAUGUUUUGGUCAUUCUGAGAUAGUCAUGGAAAAUUACAACACAGAUGUUCAUACGGGAUCUUCCUUCUAUUGCCCAGUGCCCCGUGAAGCCCUUGAACAAAACCAGAAGAAAGUGAAAAAUAAACAGCCUUAUACGGUUGUCAUCAUCCUAUCCCCAGUGAUGGAGCCAUACUUGGGUCUGAAAUAUUUUGACACAGAUGAAGCAAGUCUUUGCAAUUUCCAAAGGAAAGGCUUCUGUGACACACUCUCUUGUUUGAAGGAGUGACAAUAACCUGAGAAUUGCUGGAAAUACGAAUCCUAACAUGAUGAAUUCCCAAGUAUUUUAAAUGAUAAUAAAAUAUUUCCAGCUCAAGUAGAUAUUCAAAUGAGAGCGAUGUUGCUAAGAGCUGAGCCUUGGAAAAGGCCUGGAAAACGCUGCAGUAAAAACUCUCCGGACUUUCUCUGUGUAUUCUCUAACUCAACUGGCAACAUGAGCCACUAAAUGAUGCUAAAGACACAGGUUUCAUUGCAUUCUUGACUUUUUUGCUCUUCGGCCAAAUGUCAGCGCCCCCA